Molecule: ribosomal RNA, 1373 nt
Filed under: Staphylococcus aureus
Lineage: Bacteria; Bacillati; Bacillota; Bacilli; Caryophanales; Staphylococcaceae
Also listed under: 2 other names
Description: partial 23S ribosomal RNA
Rfam family: Bacterial large subunit ribosomal RNA
Source: RNAcentral
AGGCUGAGCUGUGAUGGGGAGAAGACAUUGUGUCUUCGAGUCGUUGAUUUCACACUGCCGAGAAAAGCCUCUAGAUAGAAAAUAGGUGCCCGUACCGCAAACCGACACAGGUAGUCAAGAUGAGAAUUCUAAGGUGAGCGAGCGAACUCUCGUUAAGGAACUCGGCAAAAUGACCCCGUAACUUCGGGAGAAGGGGUGCUCUUUAGGGUUAACGCCCAGAAGAGCCGCAGUGAAUAGGCCCAAGCGACUGUUUAUCAAAAACACAGGUCUCUGCUAAACCGUAAGGUGAUGUAUAGGGGCUGACGCCUGCCCGGUGCUGGAAGGUUAAGAGGAGUGGUUAGCUUCUGCGAAGCUACGAAUCGAAGCCCCAGUAAACGGCGGCCGUAACUAUAACGGUCCUAAGGUAGCGAAAUUCCUUGUCGGGUAAGUUCCGACCCGCACGAAAGGCGUAACGAUUUGGGCACUGUCUCAACGAGAGACUCGGUGAAAUCAUAGUACCUGUGAAGAUGCAGGUUACCCGCGACAGGACGGAAAGACCCCGUGGAGCUUUACUGUAGCCUGAUAUUGAAAUUCGGCACAGCUUGUACAGGAUAGGUAGGAGCCUUUGAAACGUGAGCGCUAGCUUACGUGGAGGCGCUGGUGGGAUACUACCCUAGCUGUGUUGGCUUUCUAACCCGCACCACUUAUCGUGGUGGGAGACAGUGUCAGGCGGGCAGUUUGACUGGGGCGGUCGCCUCCUAAAAGGUAACGGAGGCGCUCAAAGGUUCCCUCAGAAUGGUUGGAAAUCAUUCAUAGAGUGUAAAGGCAUAAGGGAGCUUGACUGCGAGACCUACAAGUCGAGCAGGGUCGAAAGACGGACUUAGUGAUCCGGUGGUUCCGCAUGGAAGGGCCAUCGCUCAACGGAUAAAAGCUACCCCGGGGAUAACAGGCUUAUCUCCCCCAAGAGUUCACAUCGACGGGGAGGUUUGGCACCUCGAUGUCGGCUCAUCGCAUCCUGGGGCUGUAGUCGGUCCCAAGGGUUGGGCUGUUCGCCCAUUAAAGCGGUACGCGAGCUGGGUUCAGAACGUCGUGAGACAGUUCGGUCCCUAUCCGUCGUGGGCGUAGGAAAUUUGAGAGGAGCUGUCCUUAGUACGAGAGGACCGGGAUGGACAUACCUCUGGUGUACCAGUUGUCGUGCCAACGGCAUAGCUGGGUAGCUAUGUGUGGACGGGAUAAGUGCUGAAAGCAUCUAAGCAUGAAGCCCCCCUCAAGAUGAGAUUUCCCAACUUCGGUUAUAAGAUCCCUCAAAGAUGAUGAGGUUAAUAGGUUCGAGGUGGAAGCAUGGUGACAUGUGGAGCUGACGAAUACUAAUCGAUCGAAGACUUAAUCAAAUU